UGCGUAGGGGGCAAGCGUUGUCCGGAUUUAUUGGGCGUAAAGAGCGUGUAGGCGGCCUGAAAGGGCAGCUGUGAAAACUCGAGGCUCAACCUCGAGACGUCGGUUGAAACCAUCUGGCUAGAGUCCGGAAGAGGAGUGUGGAAUUCCCGGUGUAGCGGUGAAAUGCGCAGAUAUCGGGAAGAACACCCGUGGCGAAGGCGGCACUCUGGGACGGUACUGACGCUGAGACGCGAAAGCGUGGGGAGCGAACAGG
This 253-nucleotide ribosomal RNA is filed under the name uncultured bacterium. RNAcentral's name for it is "partial 16S ribosomal RNA". It matches the Rfam family "Bacterial small subunit ribosomal RNA", at positions 524 to 776 of the family's 1533-position model. The record is from RNAcentral.